Molecule: ribosomal RNA, 421 nt
Filed under: uncultured bacterium
Lineage: Bacteria
Description: bacterial SSU rRNA
Rfam family: Bacterial small subunit ribosomal RNA
Source: RNAcentral
UAAGGAAUAUUGGUCAAUGGACGAAAGUCUGAACCAGCCAUGCCGCGUGGAGGAUGAAGGCCCUCUGGGUUGUAAACUUCUUUUACAGGGGACGAAAAAGGGUCUUUCUAGAUCAACUGACGGUACCCUAGGAAUAAGGACCGGCUAACUCCGUGCCAGCAGCCGCGGUAAUACGGAGGGUGCAAGCGUUAUCCGGAUUCACUGGGUUUAAAGGGUGCGUAGGUGGGUUAGUAAGUCAGUGGUGAAAUCUUCGAGCUUAACUCGGAAACUGCCAUUGAUACUAUUAGUCUUGAAUAUUGUGGAGGUUAGCGGAAUAUGUCAUGUAGCGGUGAAAUGCUUAGAUAUGACAUAGAACACCAAUUGCGAAGGCAGCUGGCUACACAUAUAUUGACACUGAGGCACGAAAGCGUGGGGAUCAAAC